UCGGAUUGAAGGCUGAAAUUACGCCUUCCAUGAAGCCGGAAUUGCUAGUAAUGGCAGGUCAGCAUACUGCCGUGAAUACGUUCCCGGGCCUUGUACACACCGCCCGUCACACCAUGAGAGUUGGGAAUACCCGAAGCCUGUGAGCUAACUUUAAGAGGCAGCAGUCGAAGGUAGAAUCAAUGAUUGGGGUGAAGUCGUAACAAGGUAGC
RNAcentral lists this ribosomal RNA (209 nucleotides) under uncultured bacterium. RNAcentral's name for it is "partial 16S ribosomal RNA". It matches the Rfam family "Bacterial small subunit ribosomal RNA", at positions 1293 to 1500 of the family's 1533-position model. The record is from RNAcentral.